RNAcentral lists this ribosomal RNA (253 nucleotides) under uncultured Eubacteriales bacterium. Its description in RNAcentral is "uncultured Clostridiales bacterium partial 16S ribosomal RNA". It matches the Rfam family "Bacterial small subunit ribosomal RNA", at positions 524 to 776 of the family's 1533-position model. Lineage: Bacteria; Bacillati; Bacillota; Clostridia; Eubacteriales. The record is from RNAcentral.
UACGUAGGGGGCAAGCGUUAUCCGGAAUUACUGGGUGUAAAGGGUGAGUAGGCGGCAUGGUAAGCCAGAUGUGAAAGCCUUGGGCUUAACCCGAGGAUUGCAUUUGGAACUAUCAAGCUAGAGUACAGGAGAGGAAAGCGGAAUUCCUAGUGUAGCGGUGAAAUGCGUAGAUAUAUGGAAGAACACCAGUGGCGAAGGCGGCCGCCUGGCCUGUUACUGACGCUGAGGCACGAAAGCGUGGGGAGCAAAUAGG